UUUGACUCGAACAAUUAUUUCCUAACCGCCAUAUUAUAUUGCAACCACCGAGUAACCACUCCCGGAAUUUUGGAUUUUUAGUUUUUUCUGCAUAUAUAUUUUCUGAGCCCUAAUACUUUAUUGUGAGAAUAUUAUUCGUCGCUUCUAGGGAUUUACUAUGGAAAAUACAGUGAAACGUAAUGUGAGAUAUCAAAAAUGUACUA
Molecule: unclassified non-coding RNA, 203 nt
Filed under: Melitaea cinxia (Glanville fritillary)
Lineage: Eukaryota; Metazoa; Arthropoda; Insecta; Lepidoptera; Nymphalidae
Description: misc RNA ENSMCXG00005011927.1
Source: RNAcentral